RNAcentral lists this long non-coding RNA (234 nucleotides) under Lathyrus oleraceus (garden pea). Its description in RNAcentral is "Pisum sativum (pea) long non-coding RNA (PSAT_LNC000958)". Lineage: Eukaryota; Viridiplantae; Streptophyta; Magnoliopsida; Fabales; Fabaceae. The record is from RNAcentral.
UCGGUUAACGCAAAACAGAAUGCGCUCCUUGGCAAUUUUUAACAGUGUUAACCGGUUAACACCCUGGGUUAACCGGUUAACGCAAGACAGAAUGCAAUUUUUUCAAUAUUAUAACAGUGUUAACCGGUUAACACCCUGGGUUAACCGGUUAACGCAAAACAGAAUGCUGUUCCUGCGCUAACACGAAACAGAAUGCAGAUUUCCCCGCAUUUUUCAUCGUUGGAGGACUUCCGA